AACCUAGCACACCUGCGGUGUGUACCUGCGGAGGGAUCAUUACCGAGUUUACAACUCCCAAACCCCUGUGAACAUACCUAUACGUUGCCUCGGCGGAUCAGCCCGCGCCCCGUAAAACGGGACGGCCCGCCCGAGGACCCCUAAACUCUGUUUUUAGUGGAACUUCUGAGUAAAACAAACAAAUAAAUCAAAACUUUUAACAACGGAUCU
RNAcentral lists this unclassified non-coding RNA (210 nucleotides) under soil metagenome. RNAcentral describes it as "partial contains 5.8S ribosomal RNA, internal transcribed spacer 2, and large subunit ribosomal RNA". The record is from RNAcentral.